This 497-nucleotide ribosomal RNA is filed under the name uncultured bacterium. Its description in RNAcentral is "partial 16S ribosomal RNA". It matches the Rfam family "Bacterial small subunit ribosomal RNA", at positions 28 to 507 of the family's 1533-position model. The record is from RNAcentral.
GAUGAACGCUGGCGGCGUGCCUAAUACAUGCAAGUCGAGCGAACAGACGAGGAGCUUGCUCCUCUGACGUUAGCGGCGGACGGGUGAGUCACACGUGGAUAACCUACCUAUAAGACUGGGAUAACUUCGGGAAACCGGAGCUAAUACCGGAUAAUAUAUUGAACCGCAUGGUUCAAUAGUGAAAGACGGUUUUGCUGUCACUUAUAGAUGGAUCCGCGCCGCAUUAGCUAGUUGGUAAGGUAACGGCUUACCAAGGCGACGAUGCGUAGCCGACCUGAGAGGGUGAUCGGCCACACUGGAACUGAGACACGGUCCAGACUACUACGGGAGGCAGCAGUAGGGAAUCUUCCGCAAUGGGCGAAAGCCUGACGGAGCAACGCCGCGUGAGUGAUGAAGGUCUUCGGAUCGUAAAACUCUGUUAUUAGGGAAGAACAAAUGUGUAAGUAACUAUGCACGUCUUGACGGUAACUAAUCAGAAAGCCACGGCUAACUACGUG